RNAcentral lists this ribosomal RNA (434 nucleotides) under uncultured Alloprevotella sp. RNAcentral's name for it is "bacterial SSU rRNA". It matches the Rfam family "Bacterial small subunit ribosomal RNA", at positions 341 to 792 of the family's 1533-position model. The record is from RNAcentral. Lineage: Bacteria; Pseudomonadati; Bacteroidota; Bacteroidia; Bacteroidales; Prevotellaceae.
ACGGGAGGCAGCAGUGGGGAAUAUUGGACAAUGGGGGAAACCCUGAUCCAGCGACGCCGCGUGAGUGAAGAAGUAUUUCGGUAUGUAAAGCUCUAUCAGCAAGGAAGAAAAUGACGGUACUUGACUAAGAAGCUCCGGCUAAAUACGUGCCAGCAGCCGCGGUAAUACGGAAGGUCCGGGCGUUAUCCGGAUUUAUUGGGUUUAAAGGGAGCGUAGGCGGACGUUUAAGUCAGCUGUGAAAGUCUGCGGCUCAACCGUAGAAUUGCAGUUGAAACUGGAUGUCUUGAGUGCACGCAGGGAUGCCGGAAUUCGUUGUGUGGCGGUGAAAUGCUUAGAUAUGACGAAGAACUCCGAUCGCGAAGGCAAGUGUCCGGAGUGCAACUGACGCUGAGGCUCGAAAGUGUGGGUAUCAAACAGGAUUAGAUACCCUGGUA